This 693-nucleotide ribosomal RNA is filed under the name Pseudomonas migulae. RNAcentral's name for it is "bacterial SSU rRNA". It matches the Rfam family "Bacterial small subunit ribosomal RNA", at positions 91 to 780 of the family's 1533-position model. The record is from RNAcentral. Lineage: Bacteria; Pseudomonadati; Pseudomonadota; Gammaproteobacteria; Pseudomonadales; Pseudomonadaceae.
UUUAGCGGCGGACGGGUGAGUAAUGCCUAGGAAUCUGCCUGGUAGUGGGGGAUAACGUUCCGAAAGGAACGCUAAUACCGCAUACGUCCUACGGGAGAAAGCAGGGGACCUUCGGGCCUUGCGCUAUCAGAUGAGCCUAGGUCGGAUUAGCUAGUUGGUGAGGUAAUGGCUCACCAAGGCGACGAUCCGUAACUGGUCUGAGAGGAUGAUCAGUCACACUGGAACUGAGACACGGUCCAGACUCCUACGGGAGGCAGCAGUGGGGAAUAUUGGACAAUGGGCGAAAGCCUGAUCCAGCCAUGCCGCGUGUGUGAAGAAGGUCUUCGGAUUGUAAAGCACUUUAAGUUGGGAGGAAGGGCAGUAAGUUAAUACCUUGCUGUUUUGACGUUACCGACAGAAUAAGCACCGGCUAACUUCGUGCCAGCAGCCGCGGUAAUACGAAGGGUGCAAGCGUUAAUCGGAAUUACUGGGCGUAAAGCGCGCGUAGGUGGUUCGUUAAGUUGGAUGUGAAAGCCCCGGGCUCAACCUGGGAACUGCAUCCAAAACUGGCGAGCUAGAGUACGGUAGAGGGUGGUGGAAUUUCCUGUGUAGCGGUGAAAUGCGUAGAUAUAGGAAGGAACACCAGUGGCGAAGGCGACCACCUGGACUGAUACUGACACUGAGGUGCGAAAGCGUGGGGAGCAAACAGGAUUA